AUGAGGGCCACCGAGAUGUUGACCGCCGCGGCGGGGGCUGCCGCCGGGACGACGCCCUCCACGGCCUCGGUGGCCGGCCUGGCCGGGGCCAGCGGGGGCGGCCCCGCCGCGGGCGCCGGCGGGAACUUCCCCCUCGGCGCCGCCCUCCUCGCCUUCGCCUUCGCCAACCUCGUCAACGUCCUCUCCAUCUGGUUAAAGGAGAAGAAAUGGGAUGCAAGGAAAUUUCUUACUUCUUCUGGAGUUAUUUCAUCUCUUUCUGCGGCGGUGGCAAGUUUGGCUGUGGCGGUUGGCCAACAAGAAGGCGGAGAUAGCUCUGUUUUCGCCCUUGCAUUGGUUUUUGCUGCCGUUGUAAUGUAUGAUGCAUCAGGAGUUAGGUUUCACACAGGCCGCCAAGCUGCGUUGUUAAAUCAAAUAGUUUCUGAUUUAUCACCGGAACAUCCAAUUAUCUCUACCUUCCGGCCGCUUCGGGAACCUCUUGGACACAGUCCAUUUCAGGUUUUUGUUGGAGCGCUUGUUGGUUGUACAAUAGCAUAUUUAAUGGGGAGAUCUGUAUGA
RNAcentral lists this ribosomal RNA (555 nucleotides) under Triticum aestivum (bread wheat). Its description in RNAcentral is "partial small subunit ribosomal RNA". The record is from RNAcentral. Lineage: Eukaryota; Viridiplantae; Streptophyta; Magnoliopsida; Poales; Poaceae.